ACACUCCUGCGGGAGGCAGCAGUGGGGAAUUUUGGACAAUGGGCGAAAGCCUGAUCCAGCAAUGCCGCGUGAGUGAAGAAGGCCUUCGGGUUGUAAAGCUCUUUUGUCAGGGAAGAAACGGUGAAAGCUAAUAUCUUUUGCUAAUGACGGUACCUGAAGAAUAAGCACCGGCUAACUACGUGCCAGCAGCCGCGGUAAUACGUAGGGUGCAAGCGUUAAUCGGAAUUACUGGGCGUAAAGCGUGCGCAGGCGGUUUUGUAAGUCUGAUGUGAAAUCCCCGGGCUCAACCUGGGAAUUGCAUUGGAGCCUGCAAGGCUAGAAUCUGGCAGAGGGGGGUAGAAUUCCACGUGUAGCAGUGAAAUGCGUAGAUAUGUGGAGGAACACCGAUGGCGAAGGCAGCCCCCUGGGUCAAGAUUGACGCUCAUGCACGAAAGCGUGGGGAGCAAACAGGAUUAGAUACCCCAGUAGUCCCAUG
This 475-nucleotide ribosomal RNA is filed under the name uncultured organism. RNAcentral describes it as "partial 16S ribosomal RNA". It matches the Rfam family "Bacterial small subunit ribosomal RNA", at positions 333 to 799 of the family's 1533-position model. The record is from RNAcentral.